AUAAUCAACGCUGGCGGCGUGCCUCGGACAUGCAAGUCGAACGCGAAAGUCCCCUUCGGGGGACAAGUAGAGUGGCGCACGGGUGAGUAACACGUAGGUAAUCUACCUUCGGAUGGGGAAUAACAACCGGAAACGGUUGCUAAUACCGCAUAAUGCAGCGGCACCUAAUGGUGACAGUUGUUAAAGCGGGGGAUCGAAAGACCUCGCGUCUGAAGAGGAGCCUGCGGCGGAUUAGCUAGUUGGUAGGGUUACGGCCUACCAAGGCGACGAUCCGUA
Molecule: ribosomal RNA, 276 nt
Filed under: uncultured soil bacterium
Lineage: Bacteria
Description: partial 16S ribosomal RNA
Rfam family: Bacterial small subunit ribosomal RNA
Source: RNAcentral